Oreochromis niloticus (Nile tilapia) is the source of this 3892-nucleotide long non-coding RNA. RefSeq lists it as uncharacterized. The transcript has 4 exons. The record is from RefSeq and is a predicted model, not a curated record. Lineage: Eukaryota; Metazoa; Chordata; Actinopteri; Cichliformes; Cichlidae.
ACCCCUCAUUACUGUCUAAGGAAUAAAUUCAAAGUUUGUCUUACUUUCAAAUGGCCAGUAUACGUGCACAUUCAUUCCUGACCAUUCACAUGCAAACAAAUCAAAUUACACACACCUGUAGUCAUAGAUUCACUCACACCUGCACACUCUUUAUAAAGGAGAGAAGUGAUGAGCUAAGACUGACUACAUAGUUAAUGAAACUUGCCUUCCCUGGAUCGCUGCCUCCUUUCUGCUCUGACCAGCAGAGCCAUCACACAGAGGAGAGUCUGAAACUUCAGUGUCACAGCUGAUGUGCUGUGUGUUGGAGACACAGAUGCAGACAGGUACAUACUGCCAACAGGUAUACGUUCAAUCUUCAGGUAAAACAACGUGUAUUUGGUACGAGAUCCCAUCCUGAGGCUGAAUGCUGGGUGUUAAAUGGACAGCAGCUGCUGCGUCUGAUGUGUUUCCACUCCAUUAGUCUGGCUAAGGAAGUGUUUCAGCCACGGGGCGUCUGAGAGCACGAGCGAUCUCAUCUGUCAGUGUCAGUCUCUCAGCUCAACAGGCGACAAGCACUGCAGCAAUAACAUGACUGCUCUGAAUCCUGCUGAUCACAGCUGGAGGCCGUGGACCAUCGAUACCGACAAUCAAAUGAGAUUUAGUGUGAGAUGACCAGUUUAACCAGUUUAAGUGGUGUUCAUACACCUCUCUGCAUUUAAUCAGUACUUAUUAGUAAUCUCUGGCUCUUAUCCAUGAUGUUUUUGUCGUCCUUCCCUCACCCCAACCGGUCACUGUAGAUGGCUGCUUCUCCCUGAGCCUGGUUCUUCUGGAGGUUUCUUCCUGUUAAAAGGUCGUUUUUUCCUUCCCACUCUUGCCAAAGCACUUGUGCACAGCAGGUCAUACGAUUCUUGGAGUUUUCUCAGUAUUAUUGAAGGGUCUUUACUUUACAAUAUAAAGCACCUUUAGGCAACUAUUGUUGUGAUUUGGUGCCACAAAAGUAAAACUGAAGCACUUAGGCUGCAAAAAAGUGCCGGUGUGAAUGCUGAAACAGGCAAGUAUAAGUACUCUGAGUACUCAGAGAAGUAGAAGAACUUGCCAUGCUUGGUGUGAUGCUGAUUCUUCUUAGUCUGACUCAUUUCAUCCACACCACGGGGACGCCAUCCACAAACAUCUGCUGCUCGGUGGCGAGGUUACACAUUUUUCUUUUGCAGUGCUCAGAAAUGAUUAUCGAAGAUAAUUGCUUUGGGCUGACACAGACUCCUUUCAUCUGCUUCAGGAAAUAAAGAUAAAAAUGGGAACAAAUCAGCAUCUCUGCAGCUGAAUACUCUUUCCAAUAAACCACCUGCUGAGUGUACAACACCUUUAAUGCCGGUCUUUGAGUUCCUUCCUCUCAUCUAACCAACAGUUUAAAAUCACCUCAGUAUUGGUUUGAGCUUCACUUCUGCUCAGUGUCCACAGAGUUACUUCUCUACCCUUUCCAGCUCGACUCUGCAGAAUGUGGGAGCAGACCUGAAGGUGUCUUUGGAUGUUUGAGAUCAUUAGAAAAUGAUUUCUUACCUCCAGCAUUUCUACCUGUACACAGGAAAUGUGGUUGAGACUAAAGACUUUCACCUCUGCUGAUUCCUCCUUUGGCUCUAACGGUUCUAAAAAGCUUUGCAUCAUAAAAAGAUCAAAGUUGAUCUUUCAGACAUACGCGACACAAGAAAAGUUCACAGACGACCAGCUGAGAUGAAGUGAUUGGAGAGCUACCAGUUAGGUGAAGCAGGAAGCUCACAGAAAUAACAAAGGAAAGAAGAAGGUGAAGUCAAGCCUUCAGAACAACAGUUGAAAUCAACAGUGGGUUCAUUUGCUGCAGAUAUCACUGAGGCAUUAUGGGUAUUUGGCUGCCUUUUUGUCAACGUGAUGGACCAGGAGUCAAACUGGCAGAUAAAAUAAUGUGUUCACACCACACAUGUAUACUGUCCAGUAAACGUAACUGGUUUUACUGGUACUGUCUAUUUAAACGCACAGUAAGAGGCUGUUAGCUCCCUCAGCUCAGUGUGCAGCGCUGCAGUCUGGAUUCACUGCAAUGAUGUAUGUCUGCUUCUGAAUAAUUAAUGGAAGACAGAAACUGAACGAAAGCAGGAAACCGAUGAGGGGAGCUCUGAAAACUGGUCAGCUUUAAAUAAAGAUGGUGGGUGGGUGGCAGAGACUUUCUGGUACCUUCACUCUGUUCCCUGUCUCCAUCUGAAGUCACGUCUUAGUUUCCUCUUUGCUUUUGUGCUGAGAUUAAACAUGUCGGAGUGGAUUUCUUUCUUCUUCCACUGCAUGUUGAAGAAAUGCAUUAUUUUUCUGGAAACAGCUGGCGACUCACGCUGAGCGAUGUGAAGACGCUGCUAAACGGUCUCUCUGCUUAACUGGUGUUUGACAUUAAAACUGUCACCAUAAAGACUGAAACACGCUGCAGGAAAAUCACCAAAAUAGAUCAGCAGAGAAAGACGAGGGAGAAGCUUUGUGAGGAAGAGUGAGGACAUACAUCAGAGGGCUGGUACCUCGUUCACUGAUCACCACGAGGCCACAAACGUCCAAGUGCCCAGUGGAUCCUGAAUGACCUCACUGGUAUCUCUCUUGUCCGAUAAUCACACAAGCUUUUAAACUUAGAUCGUGUGUGGUGCUUCCAGUUUAACCCAGCAACGGUUCCCCGUGCCCAAUCCGCUCGUCUACUGAUGCCAACUCUGCAGGCAGCUGAUGGGUUUCAUGAGUUCCUGUCUCAUUCACAGGUCAUUGUUAGCGAUUGCUGAUACAUCGCAAAGCUAACAUCGUCAUCAGGUAAUAGCUGACAGUCAUCAAAUUGUUUCUGAGAACAAAGGUUUGCUUCUGUCCUCUAAAAGCAUUUCAACUAUAACCUGAAACCACAGUAGAUGGUGACUGCUGCCUGCAGACUGUCGAUGCCCGUGUGCCGAUAUGUAACAGAGCUCUUACAGACCUUCAAAGGUGGUUGUUUCAUCUGCCUGCGUGUUUGCUGUGAGACAUAAUUUAUUCAUAUUGGACCCGCUGUGCUGCAUCAUUUAAUCAAAUAAAGCUCUUCCAACUUUUUGCAGUGUGCACAUGUCUACAUCCUGUACCUGUCUGUACCUGUCUGUCAUGGGCUGAGUGACCAGCUGGAAAUUUCCAUCAGUGCCUGAGCAUCCUUGGCUCCGCCCGUGGGCAGGACUACCUCAGCUUUACGCAUCUGGAGCUAACUGGGGCAAUCAGGCCAGAGAUGAUUUAAGAUCUGCACUGUCAUCUCCUUCCUGCCAGUUCGUCAGCUGCCUGAUGACUUUUCUCCAGUGUCGAUUGCUGCUCACCACUUGGAUCUCGGUUCGUUUCCACUCACUGGGAAAAAUCUCCGAACCUCACCUGCCUGCCCUCCUGCUCACUCACCACUUUGGAUCCAACGAGGUCAGCUGUUUCACUUUUUCAAACUCUGAGGAAUUACAUCACCUCCCCCUCAAUACCACACCUCCACCUCCUGCAAUGUGACCAUUACUUACCUGCCCAGAUCCAGUUGUCCCCUCUCUAAUAGUUGCACGGCUAUGCUUCCAUGCCACAGUUUGCCAUGUCCCUGUGUUUUCACCUGUAUUGUACAGUCACUAAUAAAUUGUGUUAAAACGCUCCCUUGCCUCCGCUCUGGGUGUCUGCGAUGGGGUUCUGUUCAAGUUGCUGGCCUCCGUCCAGUGUGACGCCGUCUGCACCCGUCUGUAAUCUGUCAAUGACCUGGGAGAUGAUGGAGGUAUUGAAUGACCCCCCCCGUGUAGCAUCUGUCUCAGUACUAGCAGCUGUAUCAUGUUUAAUGCACUGGAGGAAAUGUUUUAACCUGUGUUCUCAGUCUCUAGGUCAGGGGUCGGCAACCUGCGGCUCUUUAGUCUUAAUACUGCGGCUCCGCGUGGUUUGG